GGUGCCAUAGCUCAGUUGGUAGAGCAACGGACUGAAAAUCCGUGUGUCCCUAGUUCGAUUCUUGGUGGCACCACCU
RNAcentral lists this transfer RNA (76 nucleotides) under Porphyromonadaceae bacterium. Its description in RNAcentral is "tRNA-Phe". It matches the Rfam family "tRNA". From Rfam's summary of the family: Transfer RNA (tRNA) molecules are approximately 80 nucleotides in length. Their secondary structure includes four short double-helical elements and three loops (D, anti-codon, and T loops). The record is from RNAcentral. Lineage: Bacteria; Pseudomonadati; Bacteroidota; Bacteroidia; Bacteroidales; Porphyromonadaceae.